This 276-nucleotide long non-coding RNA is filed under the name Numida meleagris (helmeted guineafowl). Its description in RNAcentral is "lncRNA (ENSNMEG00000017158.1)". Lineage: Eukaryota; Metazoa; Chordata; Aves; Galliformes; Numididae. The record is from RNAcentral.
CUGUUGAACCGAGGCUUGUUUUUAUAGCAAUUAGGUUCCAUUAAAAAUGUUAUUUUGAAGAUGGCUGUCUUAACUGGAUCUAUCCCAAGGCACGCAUUUACUGAUGUACACAGCAGUGCUGUGAAAGGGACCGAGCAUGCUGCUGCUGCUCAGAUCUGCUGGGAUUCAAACAGGAGCACAGACUGCUGCCUUGGACACUCAGAGAUGAUUUCCCUAUGCAGUGUAAACAAGGAAACAACAGUGUGUAGCAAAAAUCAAGUAUUUUCAGAACCAUCA